Vicugna pacos (alpaca) is the source of this 651-nucleotide non-coding RNA. NCBI's taxonomy places the organism in Eukaryota, Metazoa, Chordata, Mammalia, Artiodactyla, Camelidae. The record is from the annotation of a RefSeq genome assembly.
AUGGAUUAGAGGAGAGACCUGGGGACACUCUGCUCAGCUGUGGGGCUACAGGAAACAAGGACCCAGUGACCAUCCCCACCAUGGCCUGGUCCCCUCUCCUCCUCACCCUGCUGGCUCAUUGUACAGGGUCCUGGGCCCAGUCUGUGCUGACUCAGCUGUCCUCCAUGUCUGGAUCCCCGGGCCAGACGGUCACCAUCACCUGCACAGGAAGCAGCAGCAACAUCGGGGGUGGUUAUUAUUUGAGCUGGUACCAACAACUCCCAGGAACGGCACCCAAACUUCUGAUCUACAAUGCUAACAAUCGAGCCUCAGGGGUCCCCAACCGCUUCUCUGGCUCCAAGACUGGCAGCUUGGCCUCCCUGACCAUCACUGGGCUCCAGGCUGAGGAUGAGGCUGAUUACUACUGUGGAUGUUAUGACAGCAGCCUCAGUACUGGCACAGUGCUCCAGGCCGGCAGGGAAGUGAGACAAAAACCUACUGUUCCCUAGCCAUGGGGCUCCCUGGGCAGCCCCCACUGCUCAGCCAACACAGCUGCAUCCUUUCUUUGUUUUUCUUGAACAUGGAGUCUUAAAUCCACAUGAAGUUACUUUGUCUAGAGCAUGUGUCCUCACCUCUCAAAUUCUGCCCCUAAGCCCAGUCCUUGUCAGCAGA